AAUACUUUGAUGGCGACCGGCAAACGGGUGCGGAACACGUACACAACCUUCCGAUAAGUGGGGAAUAGCCCAGAGAAAUUUGGAUUAAUACCCCGUAACAUUGCGAUGUGGCAUCACAUUGCAAUUAUAGCUUCGGCGCUUAUUGAUGGGUGUGCGUAUGAUUAGAUAGUUGGCGGGGUAACGGCCCACCAAGUCUACGAUCAUUAGCUGAUGUGAGAGCAUGAUCAGCCACACGGGCACUGAGACACGGGCCCGACUCC
Molecule: ribosomal RNA, 260 nt
Filed under: unidentified marine bacterioplankton
Lineage: Bacteria
Description: partial 16S ribosomal RNA
Rfam family: Bacterial small subunit ribosomal RNA
Source: RNAcentral